RNAcentral lists this ribosomal RNA (253 nucleotides) under uncultured bacterium. RNAcentral's name for it is "partial 16S ribosomal RNA". It matches the Rfam family "Bacterial small subunit ribosomal RNA", at positions 524 to 776 of the family's 1533-position model. The record is from RNAcentral.
UACGAAGGGGGCUAGCGUUGUUCGGAAUCACUGGGCGUAAAGGGCGCGUAGGCGGUUUGGUAAGUUAGAAGUGAAAUGCCGGGGCUUAACCUCGGAACUGCUUUUAAAACUGCCUGACUAGAGUAUGGGAGAGGAUGGUGGAAUUCCUAGUGUAGAGGUGAAAUUCGUAGAUAUUAGGAGGAACACCGGUGGCGAAGGCGGCCAUCUGGACCAUUACUGACGCUGAGGCGCGAAAGCGUGGGGAGCAAACAGG